This 396-nucleotide ribosomal RNA is filed under the name uncultured bacterium. Its description in RNAcentral is "bacterial SSU rRNA". It matches the Rfam family "Bacterial small subunit ribosomal RNA", at positions 362 to 775 of the family's 1533-position model. The record is from RNAcentral.
UAUUGGACAAUGGGCGCAAGCCUGAUCCAGCCAUGCCGCGUGAGUGAUGAAGGCCCUAGGGUUGUAAAGCUAUUUCAGUGGGGACGAUAAUGACGGUACCCACAGAAGAAGCCCCGGCUAACUUCGUGCCAGCAGCCGCGGUAAUAAGAAGGGGGCUAGCGUUGUUCGGAAUUACUGGGCGUAAAGCGCACGUAGGCGGAUAUUUAAGUCAGGGGUGAAAUCCCGGGGCUCAACCCCGGAACUGCCUUUGAUACUGGGUAUCUUGAGUUCGGAAGAGGUAAGUGGAAUUGCGAGUGUAGAGGUGAAAUUCGUAGAUAUUCGCAGGAACACCAGUGGCGAAGGCGGCUUACUGGUCCGAUACUGACGCUGAGGUGCGAAAGCGUGGGGAGUAAACAG